This 206-nucleotide unclassified non-coding RNA is filed under the name Hevea brasiliensis (rubber tree). The record is from RNAcentral. Lineage: Eukaryota; Viridiplantae; Streptophyta; Magnoliopsida; Malpighiales; Euphorbiaceae.
GGAAAAGGCACAAAAAUGGGGAAAGAACCAACAUGGCAUGAAUUACUAGGAAGCAACAACUGGGAAGGUCUUCUUGAACCAUUACACCUCAAUCUCCGGCGACUCAUACUCCGGUGCGGCGACUUUUGUCAAGCAACUUACGACGCCUUCAACAAUGACGAAUACUCCAUGUACUGUGGCAGUAGUCGUUACGGUAAAAGUUCACU